GGAAGGAUCAUUAUUGAAUGAACUUGGUGUGGUUGUUGCUGGCCCUCUCGGGGGCAUGUGCACACCCACCAUCCUCAUCUCCCCACCUGUGCACCUCUUGUAGACCUGGAUUGACUCUCCGAGGCAACUCGGUCGGGAAGAUUGCUGCGCUCUGUGAGCCAGCUUUCUUUGCAUGUCCAGGCCUAUGUUUUUCAUAUACCCUUAUAGAAUGUAACAGAAUGUAUCAUUGGGCCUUGUGCCUAUAAACCUUAUACAACUUUCAGCAACGGAUCUCUUGGCUCUCGCAUCGAUGAAGAACGCAGCGAAAUGCGAUAAGUAAUGUGAAUUGCAGAAUUCAGUGAAUCAUCGAAUCUUUGAACGCACCUUGCGCUCCUUGGUAUUCCGAGGAGCAUGCCUGUUUGAGUGUCAUUAAAUUCUCAACCUUAUUAACUUUUGUUGAUAAUGGAUUGGAUGUGGGGGUUUCUUUUGCUGGCUUCUUCACAGAGAUCAGCUCCCCUUAAAUGCAUUAGCUGGUGCCCCGCGUGGACCAUCUAUUGGUGUGAUAAUUAUCUACGCCGUGGAUGUCUGCAAUUAUAUGGGUUUUGCACUGCUUCUAACCGUCUGUUCAUUUGGACAAUACAUGACAAUUUGACCUCAAAUCAGGUAGGACUACCCGCUGAACUUAAGCAUAUCAAUAAG
This 678-nucleotide small RNA is filed under the name uncultured fungus. Its description in RNAcentral is "eukaryotic LSU rRNA". The stretch from base 255 to 408 matches the Rfam family "5.8S ribosomal RNA". Lineage: Eukaryota; Fungi. The record is from RNAcentral.